Molecule: transfer RNA, 68 nt
Filed under: Marmota monax (woodchuck)
Lineage: Eukaryota; Metazoa; Chordata; Mammalia; Rodentia; Sciuridae
Description: tRNA.Val
Rfam family: tRNA
About the family: Transfer RNA (tRNA) molecules are approximately 80 nucleotides in length. Their secondary structure includes four short double-helical elements and three loops (D, anti-codon, and T loops).
Source: RNAcentral
GUUGUAGCUUAGUGGUAGAGCGCUUGCCUCACACAACAUGAGGCCCUGGGUUCAAUCCUCAGCACACA